Molecule: ribosomal RNA, 538 nt
Filed under: uncultured bacterium
Lineage: Bacteria
Description: bacterial SSU rRNA
Rfam family: Bacterial small subunit ribosomal RNA
Source: RNAcentral
AAUAGAUACCCGGGUAGUCCACGCCGUAAACGGUGGCGCUAGGUGUGGGGAACAUUCCACGUUCUCCGUGCCGCAGCUAACGCAUUAAGCGCCCCGCCUGGGGAGUACGGCCGCAAGGCUAAAACUCAAAGGAAUUGACGGGGGCCCGCACAAGCGGCGGAGCAUGCGGCUUAAUUCGAUGCAACGCGAAGAACCUUACCUAGGCUUGACAGUUGGGGAAAUCUGGCAGAGAUGUCAGGUCCGCAAGGGCCCCAAAACAGGUGGUGCAUGGCUGUCGUCAGCUCGUGUUGUGAGAUGUUGGGUUAAGUCCCGCAACGAGCGCAACCCUCGUCGUAUGUUGCCAGCGGAUAAUGCCGGGGACUCAUACGAGACUGCCGGGGUCAACUCGGAGGAAGGUGGGGAUGACGUCAAGUCAUCAUGCCCCUUAUGUCUAGGGCUGCACGCAUGCUACAAUGGCCGGUACAAAGGGCUGCGAUACCGCAAGGUGGAGCGAAUCCCAAAAAGCCGGUCUCAGUUCGGAUUGGGGUCUGCAACUCCG